RNAcentral lists this non-coding RNA (21 nucleotides) under Arabidopsis thaliana (thale cress). The record is from RNAcentral. Lineage: Eukaryota; Viridiplantae; Streptophyta; Magnoliopsida; Brassicales; Brassicaceae.
UCUUAAGGUAGCCAAAUGCCU